CUUAAAGAGUUCGUAGGUGGUUGAAAAAGUUGGUGGUGAAAUCCCAGAGCUUAACUCUGGAACUGCCAUCAAAACUUUUCAGCUAGAGUUUGAUAGAGGAAAGCAGAAUUUCUAGUGUAGAGGUGAAAUUCGUAGAUAUUAGAAAGAAUACCAAUUGCGAAGGCAGCUUUCUGGAUCAUUACUGACACUGAGGAACGAAAGCAUGGGUAGCGAAGAGGAUUAGAUACCCUCGUAGUCCAUGCCGUAAACGAUGUGUGUUAGACGUUGGAAAUUUAUUUUCAGUGUCGCAGCGAAAGCGAUAAACACACCGCCUGGGGAGUACGACCGCAAGGUUAAAACUCAAAUGAAUUGACGGGGACCCGCACAAGUAGUGGAGCAUGUGGUUUAAUUCGAAGAUACGCGCAGAACCUUACCAACACUUGACAUGUUCGUCGCGACUUUAAGAGAUUAAAGUUUUCGGUUCGGCCGGACGAAACACAGGUGCUGCAUGGCUGUCGUCAGCUCGUGUCGUGAGAUGUUGGGUUAAGUCCCGCAACGAGCGCAACCCUCACUUUUAGUUGCCAUCAUUAAGUUGGGCACUCUGAAAGAACUGCCAGUGAUAAGCUGGAGGAAGGUGGGGAUGACGUCAAGUCCUCAUGGCCCUUACGUGUUGGGCUACACACGUGCUACAAUGGUAUUUACAACAGGAAGCAAGACGGCGACGUUAAGCAAAUCCUUAAAAAAUACCUCAGUUCGGAUUGCACUCUGCAACUCGAGUGCAUGAAGCUGGAAUUACUAGUAAUCGUGGAUCAGCGUGCCACGGUGAAUGCGUUCCCGGGUCUUGUACACACCGCCCGUCACACCAUGGGGAGUUGGUUCU
RNAcentral lists this ribosomal RNA (859 nucleotides) under marine metagenome. RNAcentral describes it as "bacterial SSU rRNA". It matches the Rfam family "Bacterial small subunit ribosomal RNA", at positions 559 to 1418 of the family's 1533-position model. The record is from RNAcentral.